UGGGGAAUAUUGGACAAUGGGCGAAAGCCUGAUCCAGCCAUGCCGCGUGUGUGAAGAAGGCCUUUUGGUUGUAAAGCACUUUAAGUGGGGAGGAAAAGCUUAUGGUUAAUACCCAGAAGCCCUGACGUUACCCACAGAAUAAGCACCGGCUAACUCUGUGCCAGCAGCCGCGGUAAUACAGAGGGUGCAAGCGUUAAUCGGAAUUACUGGGCGUAAAGCGCGCGUAGGUGGUUAUUUAAGUCAGAUGUGAAAGCCCCGGGCUUAACCUGGGAACUGCAUCUGAUACUGGAUAACUAGAGUAGGUGAGAGGGGAGUAGAAUUCCAGGUGUAGCGGUGAAAUGCGUAGAGAUCUGGAGGAAUACCGAUGGCGAAGGCAGCUCCCUGGCAUCAUACUGACACUGAGGUGCGAAAGCGUGGGUAGCAAACAGGAUUAGAUACCCUGGUAGUCCACGCCGUAAACGAUGUCUACCAGUCGUUGGGUCUUUUAAAGACUUAGUGACGCAGUUAACGCAAUAAGUAGACCGCCUGGGGAGUACGGCCGCAAGGUUA
RNAcentral lists this ribosomal RNA (549 nucleotides) under uncultured bacterium. Its description in RNAcentral is "bacterial SSU rRNA". It matches the Rfam family "Bacterial small subunit ribosomal RNA", at positions 355 to 896 of the family's 1533-position model. The record is from RNAcentral.